GGGCCGGAGGUCUGUUCUUUGCGUGCCGACGCGCCCGAGGCGUCGUUAAAACGGGCAAACCAAGAGAUGACAACCGUCAACUCGCCUACGCUGCCUAAGUCUCAGACCUCUAGGUAGCGCGUCCCGCCGGAGUUGUUCCGCCUGAUUUCGGGUCGGGGCGCCACAAAAGGUGGAUGCGAUGUGAAAGUUCGCCGGUGCGACCACAUCAAAGGCAGUCCGGCUAACUGCAAACGAAGCCUGUCGUUCGGCGUCGGAUGCAGCAGAUAAAUGAGCGACUACGCACGUAGCAUAUGAGCCGCUGAACGUUCUGGACGGGGGUUCGACUCCCCCCAUCUCCACCA
RNAcentral lists this transfer-messenger RNA (341 nucleotides) under Thermomicrobiales bacterium. Its description in RNAcentral is "partial transfer-messenger RNA". It matches the Rfam family "transfer-messenger RNA". From Rfam's summary of the family: Bacterial tmRNA, also known as 10Sa RNA or SsrA, is named for its dual tRNA and mRNA-like properties. Its role is to liberate the mRNA from a stalled ribosome. Lineage: Bacteria; Pseudomonadati; Thermomicrobiota; Thermomicrobia; Thermomicrobiales. The record is from RNAcentral.